UUUCCACUUGUGCUCUCCGCUUAGCUCCUUCCAUCUCCUCGCUAUGUCUCCCCUCAUUUCCACUGCCUUUCCUUCUUCUUGGACAAGACCCGAGGUUUGGAGAGAGAUUUUUACAUGAAGACAAGAGGAGGUCUUGUCCGGAUGGAAGACAGCAC
Tarenaya hassleriana is the source of this 155-nucleotide long non-coding RNA. RefSeq lists it as uncharacterized. The record is from RefSeq and is a predicted model, not a curated record. The transcript is spliced from 2 exons. NCBI's taxonomy places the organism in Eukaryota, Viridiplantae, Streptophyta, Magnoliopsida, Brassicales, Cleomaceae.